UCAAGGUGGUAUCAUCAUAUGUAACCAAUCUGAUGAAACAGUAGACUUCUUUUUCCUGUGGCGGUAUCUGUCGGAAUCCAAUGUUCGUGCAGCCGUAAUCAUAUCCGAAGAUACUGGUAUACUUCGAUCAGACACUUUUCCUUUCCCAGGAGUGGUAAUUACCCCCAAAGAUGCGAAAGAUGUAAUCAACUACGCAUCUAAGAGUGCUGACCCACUUGCUAGCAUUGAGUUUCAACAAACAAUCUUGGGAACAGAGCCCAGAUCUGCUCCAGCAGUAUCGGGAUCCUCAUCAAGGGGUCCUGGACGAAGCUACCCAGGCAUACUAAAGCCAGACAUAAUGGCACCAGGAGUGUUAAUCUUAGCAGCCUACUAUCCUUAUACUAAUGUUGCAAGCAUUGGUAACAACAUAUUCUUGUCCAGUGACUACACACUCUUGUCAGGUACAUCAAUGUCUUGUCCUCAUAUAUCUGGAAUUGCAGCCCUUCUCAAAGCCACACAUCCCGACUGGAGUCCUGCAGCUAUUCGAUCCGCCAUGAUGACCACCGCAAAUCCACUUGAUAACACUCAGAAACCCAUCAAGGACAUGGGAAACGAUUAUCAAGUUGCUACGCCACUCGACAUGGGGGCAGGACAAGUUGAUCCUAAUCGCGCUCUUGAUCCAGGACUCAUUUAUGAUGCUACCCCACAAGACUACGUAAACUUUGUUUGUGCGUUGAAUUUUACUCGAGAACAAACUCAAACUAUCAUACGAUCAAGCUACAAUUGCUCAAAUUCAUCAUUGGAUCUGAAUUAUCCAUCUUUCAUCGCUCUUUACGACAUUGAAGAAAAAGGAAGUGCAUUGAAUCAAAAAUUCCACAGGACUGUCACAAAUGUAGGAGAUGGUGUUGCUACAUACAAAGUCAAAGUUAAAAGACCAAAGGAUUCUACCAUCACUGUAUCACCAGAAACAUUAGUCUUCCAAAAGAAGUACGAGAAUCGAAGCUAUUCUGUGAGCAUACGUUAUAGGAGUUACAGUAGGACUGUUAUUAACGAUGGUUCACUCACUUGGAUUGACGAGAAUGGCAAGCACUCGGUGAGGAGUCCCAUUGUGGUUACUCGACGAGUCUUUAAUGACUAGGUUUUAUGGCAUUAUAACGAUAUGUAUCCUUCAUCAUUUUAGUAGAACAUAAUCCUAUUCCAAUUCUUAAAACUAAUGCCAACUACAGGAAACAUUGGUAUGGCUAAAUUAAAAGUGCAUGGAUUAUAUUAAAAUUGAGAAAAAAAAAAUCUUCAUUUUACCCAUGCAUUUGUUCACGAAAAUGCAAUA
Molecule: long non-coding RNA, 1306 nt
Filed under: Olea europaea subsp. europaea
Lineage: Eukaryota; Viridiplantae; Streptophyta; Magnoliopsida; Lamiales; Oleaceae
Source: RNAcentral